Bombus impatiens (common eastern bumble bee) is the source of this 961-nucleotide long non-coding RNA. RefSeq lists it as uncharacterized. The transcript has 2 exons. Lineage: Eukaryota; Metazoa; Arthropoda; Insecta; Hymenoptera; Apidae. The record is from RefSeq and is a predicted model, not a curated record.
CUCUGAAAAAACGAGGCGAAAGGGAAUCUGUUGUAAAUAUUUGUAGAAAUAUUUUGUAAAGCUUAAAGCAAAUACGAUAGAUUUGUAUACAUUCAAAGAUGAAGAAGAUGAUCGCUUUGAAAUAUACAAAGUAGGUACGAUGCUUAUACGUACAGGUCGCUAUCUAUUCGAAACGAAUCGAUUUUUCAUUGUUUAUGCAUUUCAUUAAUCAUCAAUUACGAUUACAAAUUAAGUUAUCGUGCCGAUAAGCAAAGCAAACGAGAAUGUAAGCGGAUAAUUUUACAAAGAAGCAGUCUGGAAUGUUGCUUUUGACGUUAAUCUACAUAUUUUGCGUUCUUCGUUCUAAUUAGAAAAAAGAAAAAAGAAAAAAGAAAAAAGAAAAAAGAAAAAAAAUGCAGCUACAAGCAAGUCUUUGAACGUGUUAAAGUGUUAUUAAUUUCUUGAUCGUCACCUUGAAGCUUCAAGUACAAAGAAGUGGCAAGAAAGUCGAAUUGGAAAUUAAUUUUUACGACUGAAAGCAAAAUAACCGUAAGCAUUGACAUGAAACUUUAAGCAAGACUAUUGCCACGGACUUCUACUUAAUCAACAUACAGGUAAUACGUAAUACAAUAAAGUAAGUAAUACAAUAAAAGUACGAAAAUGUAAGGAGGAGCAGAGUUAUAAGACUUUUUUCUAAAUCAUUUUUGUUAUUUAGGAGCCAGGUGUUUUGCUGAUUAUGCAUGCAUACAACGUUAGUAUAACUACGGGACUUGCAAUUACCAGGACCACGUUAGUUUGGGAGAGCAAGGUGAGACGAGUGAUGAGGGCGAUGGCGGUGGUGGUUUUGGUGGUUGUAGUGGUGAUGGUAGUGGUAGUAGUUGUGGUAGUUGUUGGUAGUGAUUAGGGCAGCGCACAACGAGCAAUUAUUGCUCGGCUAGAUUUGCGUUCGGAUCCGUAUACUCCUCGUAGUCCUCUUCUGGUU